ACCAAAAGAUGUCAAACCAAAUCCAGCCUAUUGUAAAGCUCUGGGACCUCCCUUCCAAGGACACCGAACACAAGCAUAGACACCGUUGCGAAAAGCUGUCCAAAAGCGCCUGGUCGGACAGAAACGGUUGCCGUGCAGGGAGUGUCAGCCACGUCUAGCGCACAGUCCCAGGCCCCAGGGCGAAGGCGGCCAGGGGAAAUGGGGCUCAGGGAUUGCUAAGCAAACGCAUCAUUGGUGGUCUCCAGCGCCUGCGGAGAUGGAGUUUCGCCCUUAUUGCGCAGGCUGGAGUGCAAUG
This is a long non-coding RNA of Sapajus apella (tufted capuchin), 295 nucleotides long. RefSeq lists it as uncharacterized. The transcript is spliced from 3 exons. The record is from RefSeq and is a predicted model, not a curated record. Lineage: Eukaryota; Metazoa; Chordata; Mammalia; Primates; Cebidae.